RNAcentral lists this ribosomal RNA (497 nucleotides) under uncultured bacterium. Its description in RNAcentral is "partial 16S ribosomal RNA". It matches the Rfam family "Bacterial small subunit ribosomal RNA", at positions 28 to 507 of the family's 1533-position model. The record is from RNAcentral.
GAUGAACGCUGGCGGCGUGCCUAAUACAUGCAAGUCGAGCGAACGGACGAGAAGCUUGCUUCUCUGAUGUUAGCGGCGGACGGGUGAGUAACACGUGGAUAACCUACCUAUAAGACUGGGAUAACUUCGGGAAACCGGAGCUAAUACCGGAUGAUAUUUUGAACCGCAUGGUUCAAAAGUGAAAAACGGUCUUGCUGUCACUUAUAGAUGGAUCCGCGCUGCAUUAGCUAGUUGGUAAGGUAACGGCUUACCAAGGCAACGAUGCAUAGCCGACCUGAGAGGGUGAUCGGCCACACUGGAACUGAGACACGGUCCAGACUCCUACGGGAGGCAGCAGUAGGGAAUCUUCCGCAAUGGGCGAAAGCCUGACGGAGCAACGCCGCGUGAGUGAUGAAGGUCUUCGGAUCGUAAAACUCUGUUAUUAGGGAAGAACAUAUGUGUAAGUAACUGUGCACAUCUUGACGGUACCUAAUCAGAAAGCCACGGCUAACUACGUG